AGUUUAGUUGAAAAAAAGACAAAUACUCAAUGAAGCAAACAAGUCAAAUCUUAUCCUUGAUACCUAGUUAAAGGAUAAAAAGUGAUUCCGACGAUGAGAAAAUAAUCAAAGUAAGUUAGGCUUAAUGGCAUAAUCCUACAGUUUGAACAGUAUCACAAUGAGAUCUCCUAUAGCCAAAAGCAGCACCGAUAGCAAUGGCGAGGAUGACAUAAGCCUAAAUAAGUAAGUAUAAAGCAAGAAAGAUAGAUGAUUGUAUUCGACUAUUCCCUCGAAGUCAUUAACUUACGUUGUAGGUCAUGGCAACCAACCUAAGUCACUUUAGUUAGUAAAAAACAAAGAAUAAAUUGAUUGAAAAUCGGAAAAUAGACAGAUCAUACGAAGCAAUGUCUAUUAUGAACAUACAUUAAGAAAUAUGAAAACACCAGUUGAACAGCGUACAAUGCACACAAACGAAAAGGUCGACCACUUUUUAGACUCUUACUAUGAUGGGUUAACAAACCCUCAGACUGCUGACCAGCAUAACCUCUUUGAAAUUCUGUUUCCUUUAAACUGGUAAAGCUGCGAAGUCUUUCAAAAAGAUAACCCAGAAUCGCAAUUGCUAACAGAGAGAGUAAAAAUUGGCUCAAAUUACCGAUAUGCCAACUUUUAAAUACUAUGCAUAAGCUGCAAGGUUAGAAAAUAACGAACGUUUAAAAAAUAUAAUAAAUCGGGAAAAAGUCAAUGAAAAUAAUUGUACCAACAGUUAUCUAGAACUUCAUAAACGAACGUACUUGUCAUAAUCGGUGUUAAAGGUCAUCUAAGCAUGUUAACGAGUGUUUUUGGAUAAUCAAAACAAAUACUGAAAUAAAAAAUAGAAAGAUCAUACCUUCAUUGAACAGUGUCGCAUCGUAGAAUUACCGCCGUGAUUCAUAGUGCCUACAGAAUUACUUUUUACUUUCGGCUGAGGUAGAACAAGGUUAAAACACAAAUAUAGUAAAGAAUGGAUGUACAGGGCAAAUAAAAACUUAUAAGCAAACGAAGGUAAAUUGCAGUCUAGCACUCAUCAUUUUAUGUAAAGACGCGGUGUUUAUGCUACAAUUAUGCAAGUAACGAUAUAUCAGCCGAUCCACUCCAGCACCACGUACACUAAUGGUAUAUUGCAUUGAAUAAAUUUACCGAAAAAGAGUGAACAUUAAUGGUAAGGAAAGAAGCAAACAGUAUGUAUAGAAAAUACGAAUAACUGAAAUGCAUAAGCAAGCACGUUACAGUAUUACAAAUCUUGACUUACAGGCAUUUCAAAGAAAAUUGGAUUGCAUAAAGAAAGGAUGAGUUAAAUAUUUCAAAGUAUAGUCUUCAUUUAGCAAAUACGAGUAAAUGUAUAAAAUAUUUUCAUUACAAAUUGAACUUCAUAAAUAUAUACUCACUUUUAUCCUUAAUCAGAUGUUUUAUUGAUUACUAAUUUUGUAUGUCAAGGAACUCAUAGCGGCAUAAAUAUUAAUUUAAUCAUUUACAGCAAGAUAUGCAAGCACAUGAGAUACACUUUGUUUACAACUCAGAACUUUUAGACACUAACGGUUGAAGUAGAAAAGUUGCAGAGUGAGAAUUGACAAUCGGAGGCUUCAUAUCUUUGCCAAGACCUUCAAUCUCCAAUUGAAUUUUCGACAAUAUUGAGUCCCUUACUUCUUGGGAUACCGGUUGACUGCGUUUUUUAUUUUGCACAUGAAUCUCAACAAUGUUUCCAUCUUGUAAAAAAUCUUUAACACUUUUAAGUUUUCUCUCGAUAUCAUUCACAUCAGUUCUCCAAGAAAACAGUACAUAUCGAGUACGAGUUUUAUUUUUGUGCUUCGAUUUUUCAGCUUCACGUAACCUAGAAGAUUGAUUUUCUCGUAAUUUGCUAAGUUCUGUGUAGCUGAUGAUAGAACAUAUAGGAUAUUUAUUGUUCUCGUUUGGAUCGGCCACCUUGUAAAGAACAGUUUCCGGUUUUGCGCGAACUCUAGCCAACGCUUCAACUAAAGAUGUCUUCGAGAGUUUCCCUUUAUUUUCCAGCCCCCGAAUAAAUAUUUCUUGAUACUUGAUCGAUUCAUCAAUUCGUCCAUCAAAGUACUUCUUUAUAGAAUUACUGAGUUUCGCACUUGCAAAUUGAGAAUUCAUAAAAGUCCGGCUCUGGCAUUUUCGAAAAACUGAAGUUAAGGAAUAGGAAAACUGAAUGAAAAGUUUUCGAUGAGGAAACUGUAAGUAACUAUUCAUUUCUCUCAGUAGCUACUGUGCAAGCCGUAUCGUAUAGUAAUAACUGUUUGGUCAAAAACUUCAAUCCAGCAAAUUACCAACAAAUAUAUGAAGAAUCGAAGAACGGAGGUAUUGCAGCUUGUACUAGAUUUUAAUGAAGUAAAACUCUAUAUAUGUUUUAUAUACAAGCUAACUAAAAUGAAGAGCAGUGUAUUUGAAUUCCUCUAGCGUGUACCAACCCCCAAUGAAAUGCGAAUUUCAUCAUAACGUUGUUUAACGUAUGCUUCAGUAGCUCACUAGUAAACAAUGUAAAUAAACGAAAUUAGUUACUCCAAGACUCCUGUAAGUGAAAAUGCUGAGAAAUGUGUUUUUGUUAUUAUGCUAAGUUAAUAUAUCUGUAACCUUUUUUGAAAAAGUCGUUUUUCAUGAAAUUUCAGGUGUUAUGCACGGCUUCAAAAGCUGGUAUCUAAUCAGAUAAGACGCACAUAGUUAUACUUAAUACGUGCAUACUUUACUAAGUAUAGAAGGCAAAAUUGUAAGUAGAUCAAACAUCUACCUAUUUUAAAUAAUUAUAUUCUUUAAAUAGACUUGGCAAAUCUUUCGAUGUAUUGGAUUAACUCAAAGACAAGGCUUUUCACGGUACAAGGCUAUUCGCUGUGAUAAUUCAUUGUUUGCUUCUUAAAUUUCCAGAGCCUUGGAUAAAAUUUAAUAAAACUGACUGAUGAUUUAAGAAUAAUUAACAAAAGAUCAGUAAUAAAGCUCAAAUAAAGAUUCGUCUGCCAAAAGACAAAACAACAACUUAGUCAAUAUUUUUAAU
Molecule: non-coding RNA, 3022 nt
Organism: Schizosaccharomyces pombe (fission yeast)
Lineage: Eukaryota; Fungi; Ascomycota; Schizosaccharomycetes; Schizosaccharomycetales; Schizosaccharomycetaceae
Source: the annotation of a GenBank genome assembly